Molecule: ribosomal RNA, 375 nt
Filed under: uncultured bacterium
Lineage: Bacteria
Description: bacterial SSU rRNA
Rfam family: Bacterial small subunit ribosomal RNA
Source: RNAcentral
UAGCCGGCCUGAGAGGGUGACCGGCCACACUGGGACUGAGACACGGCCCAGACUCCUACGGGAGGCAGCAGUGGGGAAUAUUGCACAAUGGACGAAAGUCUGAUGCAGCAACGCCGCGUGAGGGACGAAGGCCUUCGGGUUGUAAACCUCUUUUAGCAGGGAAGAAGCGAAAGUGACGGUACCUGCAGAAAAAGCACCGGCUAACUACGUGCCAGCAGCCGCGGUAAUACGUAGGGUGCAAGCGUUGUCCGGAAUUAUUGGGCGUAAAGAGCUCGUAGGCGGUUUGUCGCGUCUGCUGUGAAAUUUCGAGGCUCAACCUCGAACUUGCAGUGGGUACGGGCAGGCUAGAGUGCAGUAGGGGAGACUGGAAUUCCU